Molecule: long non-coding RNA, 546 nt
Organism: Homo sapiens (human)
Lineage: Eukaryota; Metazoa; Chordata; Mammalia; Primates; Hominidae
Source: Ensembl
CUGGGAGCUUUUUAGUAAUGUAAAAAUGUGGGUCCCCACUCCUCUAUCAAUCACUAUCUGCGCCUUAACCAGACCCCUAGGUGAUUCACAUGUACAUUUAACAUUUAGAACUCUGCUUUGUAAAGCUAUUAUUACAGUAAUGCCAACAAAGAGCUUGCAUUACUUCAACCUUAAAGCCUAAUGUGCCACCUUCUAAAGAUCCUGAUAUUGUCACAAUAGGCUAGUCAGCAUAGAACUGUUAGAAAAAAGUACAUACUUUGUGCAUUUUUCACUGAUCCAAGAAUGUUUUUAGUCAUUUCCUUUUCAGUGUGUGAACAGCCUAACAAUUCACUGGAGUUGAAAAGCUUUGUUAAAACAAAUUUGAAAUGGCUUAAAAACCAUUUAGUGGAUGGUAUCCACUAAAACUAGGUAUCCACUAAAACUAUGCCUUAAAAGUUACCUUUUAAAAAAGACAUGUUCAUCUUCACAAGGUCAAUUUUCAUGUAUUAAAUUGUGUAUAGUGCUUUAAAGAGCUAUAUUCCUCAAAAAUAAACUAUAUAAAAAAGA